This is a long non-coding RNA of Metopolophium dirhodum (rose-grain aphid), 436 nucleotides long. RefSeq lists it as uncharacterized. NCBI's taxonomy places the organism in Eukaryota, Metazoa, Arthropoda, Insecta, Hemiptera, Aphididae. The record is from RefSeq and is a predicted model, not a curated record. The transcript is spliced from 2 exons.
AUACCUACCAAUAGAGAUGCAUUUCAUUAUACAUAAUAUUAUAGUUACUUUUAAAAUUCAAUUUUAUUGUUAGACUAUACACUCUCAAGAGUACUUAUUUAUUCAUUUACUUCGUCGAGACUGCAUCUUAUUGCUUAUUGAUUUAUCCAACGAUUUUGAUUCUAUGGCAUAGGCUUAAUGGAAAAGCGACUUAGAUCCGGUGGCCCGGGGCUCGCGGGAAGGGCGUCGCCGUGUUUCAGACGAUGCGAAUACGAAAACCAGACAGCCGGUCGGUGGGUGGCGAUAGUGAUGGGCCCUCACGGAGAGGACGUCCGCCCCCCCACCCUCUCAUCAUCAGACCGACACGGUCCGGGUCGUCGUACGUCGCGUUUCGGCGGCGUUUGGUAUUUCGUGGGCGAUGAGAAGAGACACAGUACAAAGAGGACCUUGGCAAAGU